This 530-nucleotide ribosomal RNA is filed under the name uncultured bacterium. RNAcentral's name for it is "bacterial SSU rRNA". It matches the Rfam family "Bacterial small subunit ribosomal RNA", at positions 356 to 896 of the family's 1533-position model. The record is from RNAcentral.
GGGGAAUAUUGCACAAUGGGCGAAAGCCUGAUGCAGCGACGCCGCGUGAGGGAUGACGGCCUUCGGGUUGUAAACCUCUUUCAGUAGGGAAGAAGCGAAAGUGACGGUACCUGCAGAAGAAGCACCGGCUAACUACGUGCCAGCAGCCGCGGUAAUACGUAGGGUGCGAGCGUUAUCCGGAAUUAUUGGGCGUAAAGAGCUCGUAGGCGGUUUGUCGCGUCUGUCGUGAAAGUCCGGGGCUUAACCCCGGAUCUGCGGUGGGUACGGGCAGACUAGAGUGCAGUAGGGGAGACUGGAAUUCCUGGUGUAGCGGUGGAAUGCGCAGAUAUCAGGAGGAACACCGAUGGCGAAGGCAGGUCUCUGGGCUGUAACUGACGCUGAGGAGCGAAAGCAUGGGGAGCGAACAGGAUUAGAUACCCUGGUAGUCCAUGCCGUAAACGUUGGGCACUAGGUGUGGGGACCAUUCCACGGUUUCCGCGCCGCAGCUAACGCAUUAAGUGCCCCGCCUGGGGAGUACGGCCGCAAGGCUA